GGGUAUGUCUGUCUGUGGUGUACCAUAAGUAUAAAACAACAUAGAGGAUGCUUAUACCCAAGGUCGAGGACUCCUACCAGUCCUGGUAACGGGAGGUGGACUAUAGAGGACUACGUAGCUGUCACCUACGCGGCCUACCACGCGAUCCAGCUAACAGGGGAUAUCCACAAGUAAUCUAGGUCUAAGCACCACGCUUACACCUAUACUACAUCUGUCGCCUAUAGUGUCCUAUAGAUUAAAGUACUCAAAAGAGUUAUGAACUAGAACAUACAUGGAUAGUAAUUGCAUAAUGAAAUAGAAGUAGAUUACCAGAGUCAUUCCAUGAGCAAGCUUGAUUAGAGCUUGAUCAUGGCGAAGUACAACCAGAGGAAGAACCGACAGGCUAGCCUCUCCUCUAAUCCUCCCUCGCUCUCCAUCUCGCUACUAUCUAGAUCUACUCUAGUUUAGAGAAGAGAGGAGAGCUCUCAUCUCCAAACCCUAGCUUUUGCUCUGUCUAUGAAUAUUGAAUAGGGAAUGCAGAGGUCUCUUCUCCAGGGGCCAGGAGGCCAGCUUAUGUAGCCCUUCCAAAUGAACGUGGGCCGUCAGAUCAAACUGACCUUAAUCACAUGGUUUUCCUUGAUCCUCAAAGGCGGUGACUGAUUGGUGGAAAAAGUUGGGCGGGCGCCCUACCCCCGGGCCCGCUCGGCCUCCCGUUCGUUCCUAUGGCUUCUGGAGUCUUCUAGAUGAUAGAAAAUUGCCGCACAUGUUAAUAUCUCUAUGUAAACCCGACGUGUGGGCCUUUCUUCCAUGUUUCCUGAUAACCCCCUACAUAAAUUGACAAACACCAAAACUCGUGGAAUUCUGUCAGAUAAAACCCUAAGUCUGGGUGUUGGUUGCAUUUGGAUCCUUUUCUUUGUUUAUUUGAUAAUUAAAUUUGGUACUUAAGGACUGUCAACAUUAAACAAAAUUCUUGGGUAAACAACCUAAAAUAAACCCCUAUAUGGGUGAGUUGAAGGGUGCAUAGAAAUUCUAUGGUUAAAAGCUUUGACCCUAACUCAGUAAUAGUUGCAAAAGAACAAACAACAAACUAGAAAAUAGUGUCAAGUUCAGUUGCCAUACCUAUUUCAUAGAGGAACACCUCAUCCAAAACCGGUGUGUGGACAAAGUUCCUACUCUUCAAUUUGUUGCAGAUGUUAUUUUCUAUCACAUCCCUCAAGGGAAGGUGAGUUACCGUGAGGAGAACCCUUUGUGUAGCUAAAGAAGAUGAUGGCUUAGCAUCGGUGGGAGGAUCGGUGCUCAUGUCGAAGCCAGCCCUUGAUGAGGCAUAGCGGGAUGAGCCCCUCGUGGUCCUUCCCGAGACCUUGUUGGUGAUUCCCUUUGCCCAGCUCUUCAUCUUGUAAUAAAUUCUCAUAGAAAAAAACAACACUAGUGCAAGGGGGUUAGUCAAAGGUUAGUGGUUAGCCAUCCAGAGGUCAAUCGUUCUUUCAAGAUUAAGUCUAGUUGCUAGUUUGAAUUUCUACAGAACCUCCCCUUGAUUUUAGAUUUCUUGAUCCCUAGUUGGACAGCACAUCCACUAAGUUCUCUCUAUGAAUCCUUGCAGCACUACCCCUUUUUCACUAGCUCUUGAGCUCUUGCUCACUCUCCCAAAUUUCUUUCCUCUUCUCUACUCUUUCUAAGCUCUCAUUCUCUCCAAACUCUCUCUGGACUCCUGGAGGUCGAGAGCCCAAAGUUUGUCUACUGAAAUGGCUUGUGUGUGGUGU
Molecule: long non-coding RNA, 1739 nt
Filed under: Sorghum bicolor (sorghum)
Lineage: Eukaryota; Viridiplantae; Streptophyta; Magnoliopsida; Poales; Poaceae
Description: long non-coding RNA (SBIC_LNC002817)
Source: RNAcentral